This is a non-coding RNA of Pelobates cultripes (western spadefoot toad), 235 nucleotides long. The record is from the annotation of a GenBank genome assembly. NCBI's taxonomy places the organism in Eukaryota, Metazoa, Chordata, Amphibia, Anura, Pelobatidae.
GUUUCUUCUAGGAGUGGAAAGCAUAUGCUUAGUCCAAAUAUGAACUAAACCGGAAGUACGUAAUCAAUGUGAAGCCUCGGAUAGCGACGUCAUACGGAAGAGACAGAAACUACUCAAAACAGAUCCAGGUGACUCCAAUGAACAACAAUUACUGACCACCGGAGAAAAACACAAGCAACUGAAGAAGCCUACAAAAGAGGGGAAACGUGUCUUGCAAGUACUUUCAAAACUUUGG